RNAcentral lists this long non-coding RNA (256 nucleotides) under Pan troglodytes (chimpanzee). RNAcentral describes it as "long non-coding RNA NONPTRT012072". Lineage: Eukaryota; Metazoa; Chordata; Mammalia; Primates; Hominidae. The record is from RNAcentral.
GUCGGGUCAGGCCUUGGGCCAAGCUGUUGUUCCCCACCAGAACCAAAUGAGCGCAAAAUCUGACAAAGAAAAAAAAAGGAGACAAGGAAAACCAACGGGAACAGCCCAGUAAAGGCACCAUUCCCCAUUUUACAGCUUGGGAAUCUGAGUUACAGAGCUUGUCUGCACUGAGUCAACAGGAGCAAAUGCUAGAUCAGGUAAUUGAACCCAAGCAAUCCGGUUCCAGAGCCAAAUAGAUGUAUUUUUUAUGGUAUAA